This is a long non-coding RNA of Gallus gallus (chicken), 7192 nucleotides long. RefSeq lists it as uncharacterized. Lineage: Eukaryota; Metazoa; Chordata; Aves; Galliformes; Phasianidae. The record is from RefSeq and is a predicted model, not a curated record. The transcript has 3 exons.
GGGGAGCAGAAGAUAGCAAGCCACAGCUUGGAUGCUCUGGCUCCAGGACUGCAGCCUGCCUGCAAAAGGGGCUGGGGUUUUAUCCUAUUCUGUAUAAUCUGGAGUUUGUUUCCCCAUUUUCAUCAGCCAGCUGUUCCCAGGAUCAGGACAGCCUCAGGGAAGGCAAAUGCAUGGCUAAACACUCACCAUCGAUUAGUUCAGAGGUGUACGGGCACCAAAUAUAAACACCUUGAUUCCUAACCACGCAUUGUGAUGGACUUACACCAUGAGUUCUUACUGAAACACAGCAGGAGAAAGUGCCUGUCUCUUCCCUAACAGACAUCAACAUGAGGCCCACAUCUGAAGCGCUCUUUGUCCAGUUGGAUCAUUACUCCUCUUACUACAAGCACUCUUUUCUCUGCAAAGGGGAUACUAACUCAAUCAUUGGACAACAUGAAAUUGCAGAGCCUCAUCAUCACCUUUUCCUGAAUACCUGAUUGGAAGGUAUUUGUCACAGUCCCUUUCAUCAGGACUCAGAGGUGAGGGUUAAAGGAGUGUGAAGGCAACUGUGCCUUAAACCAGUAUGAAUCUCAUAGCUGGUAGAGGAGACAGUGAGGAAAAGAUGACAAGAGUGAUCAGAGCUUCCAAACUGAAGAGCCAAAGAACCAAACACAUAUUUUGUAUUAAAAUGAAAAUGCUUCAAAAUCCUGUGUGGGGGUAAUUAUAACUGUGACAGAGAAAAGAACAGAAUACUUUGACUGAUGUGUUUAGGGCUUGAUUAUUAGAUAUCUUUUUACUGACCUGCAAUCUGCAGGCCCAUGAGGUUGUUUACAGGUUUUAACUGGCCUUCUAAAAGAUCAGUGCUUAUGAAUGCUUAUAAGUUUAUGAUUCUUGUAGCAUGAGAAUAGGCUGAAAAAAAAAAUAAAUGAGGCAUUUCAAAGAUUUUGGGAAUGCCCUAAUGUUAUCAGUAUGCCAUCUAAUUUCAUUUAUGAGAUAGAACUGUUCUUUCAGCCUACACUUACGGUGUUAGAAAUGGAAAUUAUAUGUGAUGGAAAGGCUUUGCUGUUGAGUACAUCUCUGCAAGCCUCAUAGCAAUUUAGUUAACAGAUAUUUGAGUAAAAUGCUGAUGAAAUGACAGAGAAGGCCCACAGUGCUUGACAUCUUUUGCCACUAUUAAUCAAGACUGCCUAUUCUAGAUAUGUAGUACAAACUGUAUGAGAAGCAUACACGGCAAUGAAAAGAUAGACUUAAAAAUACAUGCAUGAUUGCAAAAGCAGAAUUACUCCAAGUACUUUGUGUUCCUGUAACAGAGUAACACCUCUCAUAUUUUAGCCAGCUCUGGACUCCAGUACCUGGGUAUAAAUCAUUGUUUUUUGUUCUGCGAUUGCUCAUUUUCCCCAAAGACUGUGUUAGCCUAUGGCAGCUUUCUCUUCCUAUUUAUAAGGACAUGUUUUCAGACUCCAUUAUGAAUUUACCAGUCGGAGUUGUUCUUUUUCAAUACUGUUUAAGGUGAACAGCUUUUACUUCUCAUGUCCUUUCAACACAAUUGUACUUCUUUCCAAAUGCAGCGUAGCUAUGACCCAAUUUAUAGCCCUAGGUAAUUUUUGUGGUAUUACAGUUCUCUUCCAAGAACACACAGGCUCAUGAGUUUUUAUUUUAUACGUGUUUCCUCACAUUAGCAUGCAGCUCUGUUAGAAUCACAUAAUUUCUGCACUUGUUUUUUGUGCUCUCAUGUUUACAUUGGAGACAGUUCAAACUUCUGCAGGUAGGUGUUUUUCAGUGUUCCACUCCAAAUCUUCACUGACUUUAUAGAAUUGUGAGUGGUGUAUUUCCAUUUCUGUAACCCAUGACUGCAUUUUUUAAAGUAAUUGAAUUGUUAAAAGAAAGCUUUUGUCUAUUGUUUCAGUCUGACCACAGAUGUGAUGUAACUGGGUUUUGGGUUUCAGUGUGUUUCACUAGUCAUCAAUUUUUGGCAUCUGGUAGGUCAGACAUGCACAAUGGGCAGAUACAAGUGCCUAGAGUAGAUACUCUAAGGCACUUACAGUGGGUCGGUAUCUUUGAUUCAGCCUGGUGCUCAAUUUGUUGCAUGGGUUGAUCUUUUUCAUUCUGUUUUUCUCAAUUAAACUGAGCUACAACAGUCAUAUCUCGUGCACCUUACAUAAAGCUAUUCAGUGAGCAUGCAGUUCUCAAAUUAGAGAGGUGGGUUUGGGUAGUUGUUUUUACAAAUUUUUUCGUGAUUGAUCUUUUAUUUGAUAAUGACAGAGGACAGGGAAGACUGUUUACCCCUGAACAACCAAAAUGCAGGUGAAACAUACUGUUGCCUAAGGGGCCAGCUACUUAAAAGUAUAUUCCCACAAAUGGCUAUGCAAAUAUUCAUUAAACAUUAUCUUUUCCAAUUAAUCUACUAAAAAGGAAAUAAUGAUCAGGUACUGCCACGCUGCACUAGUUGCACUAGCUGAAAGAAACCACAACACAGUGGAUGUCUUCAGAGACCUUGUCUGAAAGAAGCCUAACAGGUUAAUUGAUGUUUCCUGUUAAGCAUAUAGAAAGUGUAAUUGUUUUCUUGCCAAGUGUUUAGAGUAGCUAAUCACUAAACAGUAAUUUAUCUGUUUUGUGAUUAUCUAGAAUUUGCCAGAUAGGAGAUUAAUUUUGUCAGAGAGUUUAAACCUACUAUUCUCUAACGAAGGACCUACACUAAGAUGAAAAGAUGCAGAGUAUGGAUCAUUACAACUUCACAUUCUAUAUCUCCAGUUCAUCACAAGCUGCCAAAAAGAUGAGCUUUGUUUUUGCUUCUGAAAACCAGCAAAGUAAUUGCAAGAUAUUUAUGAUACAUAUGGAUAUAAAUCUUUUUGAAAUAUAGUCUCAGCUUGGAAGGGUCUGUGUUCAUGGUUGAUAUACAUUGCAUAGUUAAUGCCUAAUUAUUUCAUUGUGCCUUUUGCCAAGGUAUGAAUAAUUCAUGAUCCUUCUUUAACAAAACCAAGAUUCAUGAUCUAGAUUCACAGGCAGAAUUACGGGAAGCACAUGAAUACUGGAACCGUUCAGGAUUGGGAAGAACAGACUUCACUUGCUAUCUAGAUUAUCCACAUUAGCAUCCAGAGGUUAUAGAGUAAGAAUGAUGAUAAGAAAAGUUGGAAAGAAUAUGCAGUGUAUUACUUGCAAAACACAUCUGAAACCAGAGUAUUAAAGGUUUCAGUCAGGCCCAUGACCUGGCCAUGGUCCCAUUACUCAGGCACUGACUUCGGACUUGUUUUUGUUGAUGAGUAAAGGUUAUCUUGAUCCAAGGAGACAGUAUGUGGGAGACAAAUUUAUUGCUCACAUUGCACCCUCUACUGUCUAAUUCCUAUAAAUGCUCGGGGCAAGGUCUUCUGACUCAUUGGUCUGUGCUACAGUGGUGUAAAACACUACAAUACGAAGAAGGACAAGCAAGUAACACAUUGAGAAGAUGCCACAUUUAAGGAAAAGGCUACAUGGAAAAUAUGCAUGGGAAGAAACUUACAGAAUAAAAUUGGAAAUGAGUGCCAUUCUCAUUAAGAGGGUGCUUAAUGAAGUGUUUAGUUAAAACCUUUAAUCCUGAUUGCACUACAGUUCAAUGGGAGAUACUCUUUAAUGAAGUCAGCAGGAUUGUGCCUCUACAAACAUGGGCCAUAGUAUUAGGAAGUCCAUCUGCCUUCCUAGACCAUCAGAUAUAUUUGAGGUUCAGAUGCUAAAAAUCUGUCAAUACAUCAGAGCAGCUCUGUGGCAUACACAGGCCACAGAUGUCCUGAAUUAGACAGGAGAUCUCACUGAGUAUCACAAGCCAAAAUGGUUCAGCUGCCACAUUACUAAGAUGUGUAUUAGCACAGAGGGGCUGGAGAGUGUCCAUUUUUUUACCUUACAUUACAACCCAGCCAGCAGCACCGUGGGAUACAGUAUAUAACUUGUCAUUGCCACACACCUUCUUAAUCAUCCUAUCUAUGUGCCAACCAGUUGCUGUCAUGCUCUCCUAUGCUCCAUCACACUGUUACUGAAUACAGCACUCAUUCCAAAAAUAGUUCAGCCUUCUCCUAAAUUUCUACCUUCAAGUCAUCGUUGGUGUCCCAAGAGAUGGAGGACUUCCCACAUAACCAAAGCCAGCUGACUUGUUAGAUCUGAAAGAGAAAUCCACAUUAUGAUACAAAAAUUUGGACCCUAACAUGAAGAUCUGAUGAUACACUACACAAUACAGAAAGGAAUCUGUCUUUACAGAGCUACACUCUGAGGAAGGAGACAUGAAAUUCCAUGAACUGCUAGCUCUUCAUUCAAGCCUGGAAUGCCAUUGUCCAUUACCUGAAAACUUGUCUCAAGAGACUUAACAAGAGAGCGAAGCUCUAAAAAUCCGUCUGCACAAAGCACCAGGCAGUGUGCAGCAGGAGACAACUCUGCUGCGCUUGGACUUGACACGCAACCUUUUCCCUCUUUGACUUCUGUUAUUUUAGGACAGUAAUCUGCUACACUCAGACCGCUGUCCUUGGCAGAGACUGAAGCACAGCUAACACAGUGAUGUCCUUGCUUAUAACUUGUAACACAGGGUAGGAAUGACAACUCAGAGCCUAGAUUAUGUGGAGCUCACUGCAAAAAAUAAUAUCCUUUUCUCUCAUUUUCUCCUCUCUGCCUCAAAGCAUUUGGCAUCAGCCUCAGCUUUUCUUGAUUGUGAGUACUGAAUGUGUCAGAGGUAAGAGAAAGCUCAGCCUGAUAGUGAUAUCUGAAAUGUUUUUCCUUUCCUCUGGAAAAAGGUUAAACUUUGGCAUAGAAACAGCACUGUGGAGCCCUUGCUUCAGUAAGAGCUUCUGUAAGUUUCUACAAGUAGCUGUUCUUUAGCAUGGCUGAUACCAGUCAGAAUGUAGUAUGAUUAGGAAAGUCAUGGGUUGCAUUGUGUGUGAAUAAAAUACAAGUGUACUUGCAAUGUGCUCACUUACAUACCACAACUUGUAAUGAAAACUGACAUUAAAAAAUAAAAAUUAAAAAUAACAGUCUAAAGGGCAAUGCAGUUCGUACGUAUGGAUAGGAUGCUUUCUAAUGAAGUAGGUAGUUCACACCUUCUCCAGGAAAACAUUGACCUCAUUUGUGUAAUAUCUAUUACAUGUUGCUUCAAGAGAGGGCAUGACAAAAAAAUUGCUAGCUGUCUUGACAGAAAUGGGCUUGAGGCAAGGCAUUCCCUAGAAAAAACCUCAAGAAAUCUGAGUUUCAAAGAAUACGUUAGCAUGGGCUUCGUUAGGCUCUGCCUGGCCUCGUUGUUUGUGUGUACUGCAGGGGCAUCCCCUAUCCAAGCCUAUGCAGACAAUAUUGUCCAAGUUUGCAACAAUUCCUGAUAGUAGAUCAGAAGAGCUCUGUAUACUGUGGAUCUGGAAGAAAUAGGGAUGUUUGGGGCUAGUCUCAGGAAGACACAUGCCAGCACAGCAACCCCAAGUCUGCAGCUGUAUCUAGAGAAGGACAUGGCAAAACUCAGGGCUUAGACCCUGUCCAACAAACUCCACAAAAAGGAUGCAUUUCUAAGUUGAUUCAACCUUAUUGUCUCCAAGGUUGUUCGAUAAAACCUGUGUAGGGAAGGAUUCUGUAUCAGGGAAUCGGCUGCUUUUUUGUAUAGCCAAACUUCAAAAAGUUAAAUAAGCACCACUAUCAUAAAGCAUAAAAUAAACUAUUCUCCUCAAACAGUAUCUCAUAGAAAAUCAGCACAACAGAGCCCAGAAACACAAAAUGAGUGUUGUUUCAGUAGAGCGAAGUGACAGGGCCAACAGCAGAUGCAUUUCUUGGCACUGAGUGCUGCAAAUUUUGUAAACAGCAGAGACAAACCUGUUUCACCAAAGAUUAAGUCUACACAAAUGCAUCUCAUUCAGCACUGGUAAAGAGGCUCAUCUAUUGUCCUGGCAAGCAGCACCAAAGAUACAGUUCUCUGGAGACAAAAUGUAAGGCUAGCUGGAAACACACUAGCCGUCCUGAAAAGAAAGAGAGGCAGUGCAAUGGUAACUAGUGAAGAAACAGCUGGGCAUGGUGGCACCAGGCUGCGUCUUUCAAACCAUGUUAUCAACACUUGUUCAUACAGCCAGUGUGCUGUAAAGAAGCGCUUGUCGCUUUCCAUUAGGUCACAGAGAGAUGAAUGGAGCCCAGUGUCAAAAAAGUCAGGUUAGGGGCUUUGAUUUGUUUUCUUUUAAUACUUGACAAUAUUGGAAAGCGUAUAGUUAAGCGGUAAGGCUAGCCAUGUGAAAAUUUUUAUCACAGCAGUGACUUAUUGCUGACAUUUGAGAAAUGCCAAGAAGAUUCAAGGAGAUUUUGGAAAAAUACAGGCCUUCAUCAACACAACUUCCAAGACAUAUACUCCUAACACAUUUCACAUUCACAUCAAAUUCAAGGGCAACAAAAGUGUGGCUAUCGGCCAAUUCCAAUGUACAGCAUCCAUAAUACGGGUACUAGCUGACCCUCUCCAGUUCAAAAUUUAAUCCUAUCAAAAAGUGAGCAUCUAACGUCCAUUCCUUCAUCCAUUUUAAUCCCUCUUUCAGUACUCAUGGUAGAAGAUCACUUCUGCAGCUGUACUGAGAAAAACAAGUCAGCUAUAAAGUGCUUCAUUGUAUGAGUUACGUGCAAGCUUCAAGCUAAUGGAAAAAUCUGAAUACUUUUGUGAAAAAAUGUUAUGCCUCUGCUCCAAGUUAUCUGACACAAAAAUGAUCAUAAUCUUUCUUUUCCCUGUUUGGAUUCAUCUCAAAAAGAAUCUAAGAAAAUAUUCUUAAUGGCAGCAGAUGAAACACCAUUAUAGGGGCCAACUACUUUAUAAAAGAGGGGUUUUUUUAUUAUUUUUAUUUUAAAAAAUGCUCCUAAGGCACAUACUAUUUUAAUGAUCACAGCAAAUCAUGAGCUUUUAAAUACACUUCCUCAGACUUUUUCCUAGGAGGAAACCAGGAGCUGUAAAUGAUCCAAGGAUAAUAACUCAUUACAGCAGAGGCUGGCUGCUGGGGAAGUGAGUAGCUGGACUGUCAAGAGUAUGCUUGUUUUCCACAGAGCUUGUGCUGAAACGAAGCUAUGUCCGUGGAUCGAGGGAUCAAUAUUCUCAAAUAGCAAACACGUGAGAUGGAAUUUCUGACCUGUUCUGAUUUCGACUCAUCAUUUCAGAUGUGGUGUACUUAAGAGCCACCAAGCUUUCAUCCCUUUCUACAUCCUACAUCCUUGGGAAGCCGUUUCACCAUGCUGUUGCCCCCUUAUUGAG